RNAcentral lists this ribosomal RNA (1285 nucleotides) under Salmonella enterica. RNAcentral describes it as "partial 23S ribosomal RNA". It matches the Rfam family "Bacterial large subunit ribosomal RNA", at positions 568 to 1735 of the family's 2925-position model. The record is from RNAcentral. Lineage: Bacteria; Pseudomonadati; Pseudomonadota; Gammaproteobacteria; Enterobacterales; Enterobacteriaceae.
ACGGUUAACGGAGCGCAAGCGACGUUCAACCGCAAAAGAAGCAGAGGGGGCUUAGUGGUGGGGUGACUGCGUACCUUUUGUAUAAUGGGUCAGCGACUUAUAUUCUGUAGCAAGGUUAACCGUAUAGGGGAGCCGGAGGGAAACCGAGUCUUAAUUGGGCGUUAAGUUGCAGGGUAUAGACCCGAAACCCGGUGAUCUAGCCAUGGGCAGGUUGAAGGUUGGGUAACACUAACUGGAGGACCGAACCGACUAAUGUUGAAAAAUUAGCGGAUGACCUGUGGCUGGGGGUGAAAGGCCAAUCAAACCGGGAGAUAGCUGGUUCUCCCCGAAAGCUAUUUAGGUAGCGCCUCGUGAAUUCAUCUCCGGGGGUAGAGCACUGUUUCGGCUAGGGGGCCAUCCCGGCUUACCAACCCGAUGCAAACUGCGAAUACCGGAGAAUGUUAUCACGGGAGACACACGGCGGGUGCUAACGUCCGUCGUGAAGAGGGAAACAACCCAGACCGCCAGCUAAGGUCCCAAAGUCAUGGUUAAGUGGGAAACGAUGUGGGAAGGCCCAGACAGCCAGGAUGUUGGCUUAGAAGCAGCCAUCAUUUAAAGAAAGCGUAAUAGCUCACUGGUCGAGUCGGCCUGCGCGGAAGAUGUAACGGGGCUAAACCAUGCACCGAAGCUGCGGCAGCGAACGUAUCACUUAAAGCGAUUCAGCGGGUUACGAUUGACGGAGCGAAGCGACGUCAAAGCGUAUACAAAGUCGAGUCGGUUUAAGGAUACGUUCGUUGGGUAGGGGAGCGUUCUGUAAGCCUGUGAAGGUGGCCUGUGAGGGUUGCUGGAGGUAUCAGAAGUGCGAAUGCUGACAUAAGUAACGAUAAAGCGGGUGAAAAGCCCGCUCGCCGGAAGACCAAGGGUUCCUGUCCAACGUUAAUCGGGGCAGGGUGAGUCGACCCCUAAGGCGAGGCCGAAAGGCGUAGUCGAUGGGAAACGGGUUAAUAUUCCCGUACUUGGUGUUACUGCGAAGGGGGGACGGAGAAGGCUAUGUUGGCCGGGCGACGGUUGUCCCGGUUUAAGCGUGUAGGUGUGUGUUCCAGGUAAAUCCGGUUCACUUUAACACUGAGGCGUGAUGACGAGGCACUACGGUGCUGAAGCAACAAAUGCCCUGCUUCCAGGAAAAGCCUCUAAGCAUCAGGUAACAUCAAAUCGUACCCCAAACCGACACAGGUGGUCAGGUAGAGAAUACCAAGGCGCUUGAGAGAACUCGGGUGAAGGAACUAGGCAAAAUGGUGCCGUAACU